GAGGGAAAGUUGCAAAGAACUUUGAAGAGAGAGUUCAAGAGGGCGUGAACCCGCUUGGAAGGAAACAGGUGGACCUGGCGUUAGUCUGCUGGAUUCAGCCUACUCGUGUGGGGUCGGAGGGGUCGAUUGUCAUUGACGAACACCCUAUGCCGUCAGCCCUACAUGAUAGGUGCAUUUCCAGUAGAUGCGCACUAGAGACUGCCAGGAUUCUGCGCUAAGCAGGUGUUGCCGGCCGGUGCUUGCAUCGGUGUCCCGCACUUGUGGAGCGGGAGUAAUUUUGGCGGGUAAAAGUAGGUGCCCGCCUCAGGUCGGUGUCUGCGGUCGUCUGGAAGAUUGGACUGUUUGGUGCUCCUGUCACAGGACCCGGCGACUCUCUUCUUUGCGAACGUGNCGCAUCGAGUUGGUGCCUAGCUCUGGUGUAUCUGUCGGUCACCCACCUGACCCGUCUUGAAACACGGACCAAGGAGUCUAACAUGUGCGCGAGUUAUUGGGUUGCAAAACCUAAAAGCGUAAUGAACGUGAAGACUGGCCUCGUCAGUUGAUAUGGGAUCUGUGGCUUCGGCUGCAGCGCACCAUAGUCUCGUCUCGUCUGCAUUGUCAGUGGGGCGAAGAUAGAGCKUACACGUUGGGACCCGAAAGAUGGUGAACUAUGCCUGAGCAGGAUGAAGCCAGAGGAAACUCUGGUGGAGGUCCGAAACGGUUCUGACGUGCAAAUCGAUCGUCAGACUUGGGUAUAGGGGCGAAAGACUAAUCGAACCAUCUAGUAGCUGGUU
This 773-nucleotide ribosomal RNA is filed under the name Paracanthonchus sp. 4I6K2. Its description in RNAcentral is "eukaryotic LSU rRNA". It matches the Rfam family "Eukaryotic large subunit ribosomal RNA", at positions 355 to 956 of the family's 3401-position model. The record is from RNAcentral. Lineage: Eukaryota; Metazoa; Nematoda; Chromadorea; Chromadorida; Cyatholaimidae.